UGCCAGCCGCCGCGGUAAGACGGAGGGGGCUAGCGUUGUUCGGAUUUACUGGGCGUAAAGGGCGCGUAGGCUGUCAUGUGUGUCAGGGGUGAAAUCCCGAGGCUUAACCUCGGAAUUGCUCUUGAAACUGCAUGACUUGAGUAUCGAAGGGGCAAGUGGAAUUCCGAGUGUAGUAGUGAAAUGCGUAGAUAUUCGGAGGAACACCAGAGGCGAAGGCGACUUGCUGGUCGAUAACUGACGUUGAGGCGCGAAAGCGUGGGGAGCAAACAGGAUUAGAUA
RNAcentral lists this ribosomal RNA (279 nucleotides) under uncultured bacterium. RNAcentral's name for it is "partial 16S ribosomal RNA". It matches the Rfam family "Bacterial small subunit ribosomal RNA", at positions 506 to 784 of the family's 1533-position model. The record is from RNAcentral.